CGAGGGUAGAGGCUGCAGCUGAUCCGAGGGCAGAGGCUGCAGCUAAUCCGAGGGCAGAGGCUGCAGUUGAUCUGAGGGCAGAGGCUGCAGGAGACCUGAGGGCAGAGGCUGCAGCUAAUCCGAGGGCAGAGGUUGCAGCUAAUCCAAGGGCUGAGACUCCAGCUAAUCUGAGGGCAGAGGCCCCAGAUAAGCCUGAGUCUGAGGUUGCAGGCAAUCAGAGAACAGAAGCCCUACCUGACCGGGGGGAAAAAGCCAUAGAUAGUCAGAGGGCAGAAGGUCCAGCUAAUGAAAGGACUGGAGCUGCAGAAAAUCAGAGGGUGGAGGUCCCAGCUGACCAGAGGGAGGAGGCUGGGCCUCAGGCUAUAGCGGAAGCCUCAGCUGGCUCCGUUACCCUAGGAACAGCCCCAGGACCUAGGGCCCAGAAACAGGUAAAGACUGUGAGGUUUCAGACCCCAGGACGGUUCUCGUGGUUUCGCAAGCGCAGAAGGGCUUUCUGGCACACUCCCCGGUUGCCAGCCUUGCCCAAGAGAGUCCCCAGGGCAGGCGAGGCUAGGAGCCUCAGGGUGCUGAGGGCUGAAGCUAGAGCAGAAGUGGAACACAGAGAAGAAGAGGAACAGCUGUGAGGUGAGCCCAGGGCCCCGGCACCCUGCCUGCCCUGCGCUGGCUGCCAGGGUACCUGCCUCCCCUGCAGGCUCCUUCUACCUCCAUGUUUGAAAAUGGAGGCUGCAGGGGCAGGCAGCACCGCGCACAUUUAGCGGCUUUUCUCCCUCCUUCUCUCUCCUCUUCCUUCCCCUUUCCCCUCCCUUUCUUCCUUUUUUAAAAAUCUUUUUGAGACAGUCUUGCUAUGCAGCCCUGCUGGCCUGGUACUCCAACUCCCAGCAGUCCCCUGCCGUAGUAUCCCGAGCACUAGGAUUGCAGGUGUGUCCCACUACAUCUGGCUCCAUUGACCUGUUUUUGUUUUUAUUUUGUUUGAGACAGGGUUUCUCUACAGCCCUGGCUCGCCUGGAACUCAUUAUGUGGACCAGGCUGUCCUCGAACUCAGAGAGGUCCGCCUGCCUCUGCUAGGACUUUUGGCACAUGCCACCAAGCCUCGGUCCUCUUUACGAUCUUGUUUUUCUAUGCUUACAUCAUUUUUAGGGGGGUGUAGCUGUAGACACACUUGAUUUUUUAAUACAUUGAUUUUUUUUUUUAAAUACUGAAUAUACAAUCUCAAAGACUGUAAAGAAAGAAGACAGUGAAGCCUGCUUGCCUGGAUGGUGCUUUAACUUCUCCCUGUGUUUCUUAAAGCCUCCCCCCCUGGCAAAGGGAAGUGGGCAGAGGAGGGGUUAUUCUGUCCCUUGUCUUCUGUCUACAACCAACUUUGAUGGACAUGGAUGCCUGCUUUGCACCCAAAGAAAGGGCUCAAGUUGAUAUGCAAAUAAAAAUGUUUACAACAGUGUUUCUGAAUCUGCUUUUUCUUCAUCUGCCCCACCCCCACC
Molecule: long non-coding RNA, 1478 nt
Filed under: Cricetulus griseus (Chinese hamster)
Lineage: Eukaryota; Metazoa; Chordata; Mammalia; Rodentia; Cricetidae
Description: lncRNA (ENSCGRG00000024158.1)
Source: RNAcentral